UCGGUUAUAGCUCCGAUUGGGUGCCACCAUCGAGAGCAACGAUUUGCUCCGAUCAUUUCGCCCCUGAAUGCUACGGAAGCAACGCGGAACUAGAAGCGCAAUUUGGAGUCUCCAGACGAAGGUAUCUCAACCGGGAUGCUGUGCCGACGAUAUCUGCAGCUGCAAAUUGCGGAGGCAGGAAAAGACAGCGCAUGGAGACACAAGCUGAAGGUGGGAGUGAAGCUGGAAUGCCUCCUUUGCAGAAAGAAAGUGACGUUCAGACCACAACAGGCACCCUGGCACCGAUGGAAAAUUUGCCAUCCACAUCUGAAAUUCGUCCUCCUGUACUUCACUCUGGAGAGUACUGCCACCACUGUGGUCAGCUGCUCCCUCCAAGUUUGUCUACUUUGCCUUACA
Long non-coding RNA from Ornithodoros turicata, 396 nucleotides. RefSeq lists it as uncharacterized. The record is from RefSeq and is a predicted model, not a curated record. Lineage: Eukaryota; Metazoa; Arthropoda; Arachnida; Ixodida; Argasidae. The transcript has 3 exons.